This 1317-nucleotide ribosomal RNA is filed under the name Megaselia scalaris. RNAcentral describes it as "partial 16S ribosomal RNA". The stretch from base 1068 to 1227 matches the Rfam family "Archaeal large subunit ribosomal RNA", at positions 2544 to 2703 of the family's 2987-position model. The record is from RNAcentral. Lineage: Eukaryota; Metazoa; Arthropoda; Insecta; Diptera; Phoridae.
UUUAUUAAUUAUAUUUUUAUUAAAUAAUUGUAUUAAAAAUAAUUAUAAAAUUUAGUGUUUAGUAGUUUAUAAUAAAAAAAUAAUUUUAAUUAUAGUUUAUUAGUAUUGUGAAAGAAAAUUGAAAUAAAUUGAAAAAUUUUUAUUUUAAAAGAAAAUUUAAUUUAUUGUACCUUUUGUAUCAGGGUAUAUCAAAUUAAAAUUAUAUAUUAAUAAUUUUCUCGAUUUUAAAAGAUUUAAUAAAUUAUUAAAGUUAUUGUAAUAAAAUUAUUUUAAAUAAUUUAUUAGAAAUGAAAUGUUAUUCGUUUUUAAAGGUAUCUAGUUUUUUUAGAAAUAAAUUUAAUUUAGAAAUUUUAAAUGAUUUUGUUAAUUAAUUAAUAAAAUUAAUUUUUAAUUUUACUAUUAUAUGGGAUAAGCUAUUUAAUAAAUUUUUAAAAAUUAUUAAAUUAUUUUAAUAAAUAUAUGCUUAUAACUAGCAAUUAUUAAUAAUUAUGUUAUAAUUUAUUUUAUAAUAAUUAUGAUUUAAUAUAUUUUAAAUUUUUAUAAAAAUAUUUAUUUUAAUUUGUAAAAUAAAAUAAUAAUGAUAUAAUUAGUAUAUUUAUAAUUUUUAUUAAUAAAAUUAUAUGAAAGGUUUUUAUAAAGAAUUCGGCAAAAAUUAAUAUUCACCUGUUUAACAAAAACAUGUCUUUUAGAAUUUAAUUUAAAGUCUAACCUGCCCACUGAAUAAUUUUAAAUGGCCGCAGUAUCCUGACUGUGCAAAGGUAGCAUAAUCAUUAGUCUUUUAAUUGAAGGCUGGAAUGAAUGGUUGGAUGAAAUAUUAACUGUUUCAUAAAAAUUAAUAAUAGAAUUUUAUUUUUUAGUCAAAAAGCUAAAAUUUAAUUAAAAGACGAGAAGACCCUAUAAAUCUUUAUAUUAAUUUAAUUUUAAUUAUAUUGAUAAAUUAAAUUAUAAUUAUUUUUAAUAUUUUAUUGGGGUGAUAUUAAAAUUUAAUAAACUUUUAAUUUAUAAUUUACAUAAAUUAAUGAAUUAUUGAUCCAUUUAUUAUGAUUAAAAAAUUAAGUUACUUUAGGGAUAACAGCGUAAUUUUUUUAGAGAGUUCAUAUUGAUAAAAAAGAUUGCGACCUCGAUGUUGGAUUAAGAUAUAAUUUUAGGUGCAGUAGCUUAAAUUUAAAGUCUGUUCGACUUUUAAAUUCUUACAUGAUCUGAGUUCAGACCGGCGUAAGCCAGGUUGGUUUCUAUCUUUAAUAAAAAAAUAUAUUUUAGUACGAAAGGACCAAAUAUAUAAAUAACCUAUUUUAAAUAAUGAAUAUUAUUAAUUUA